GGCUGGCGGCGUGCCUAAUACAUGCAAGUCGAACGAACUCUUGCUUGCAUCAUGAUUUACAUUUGAGUGAGUGGCGAACUGGUGAGUAACACGUGGGAAACCUGCCCAGAAGCGGGGGAUAACACCUGGAAACAGAUGCUAAUACCGCAUAACAACUUGGACCGCAUGGUCCGAGCUUGAAAGAUGGCUUCGGCUAUCACUUUUGGAUGGUCCCGCGGCGUAUUAGCUAGAUGGUGGGGUAACGGCUCACCAUGGCAAUGAUACGUAGCCGACCUGAGAGGGUAAUCGGCCACAUUGGGACUGAGACACGGCCCAAACUCCUACGGGAGGCAGCAGUAGGGAAUCUUCCACAAUGGACGAAAGUCUGAUGGAGCAACGCCGCGUGAGUGAAGAAGGGUUUCGGCUCGUAAAACUCUGUUGUUAAAGAAGAACAUAUCUGAGAGUAACUGUUCAGGUAUUGACGGUAUUUAACCAGAAAGCCACGGCUAACUACGUGCCAGCAGCCGCGGUAAUACGUAGGUGGCAAGCGUUGUCCGGAUUUAUUGGGCGUAAAGCGAGCGCAGGCGGUUUUUUAAGUCUGAUGUGAAAGCCUUCGGCUCAACCGAAGAAGUGCAUCGGAAACUGGGAAACUUGAGUGCAGAAGAGGACAGUGGAACUCCAUGUGUAGCGGUGAAAUGCGUAGAUAUAUGGAAGAACACCAGUGGCGAAGGCGGCUGUCUGGUCUGUAACUGACGCUGAGGCUCGAAAGUAUGGGUAGCAAACAGGAUUAGAUACCCUGGUAGUCCAUACCGUAAACGAUGAAUGCUAAGUGUUGGAGGGUUUCCGCCCUUCAGUGCUGCAGCUAACGCAUUAAGCAUUCCGCCUGGGGAGUACGGCCGCAAGGCUGAAACUCAAAGGAAUUGACGGGGGCCCGCACAAGCGGUGGAGCAUGUGGUUUAAUUCGAAGCUACGCGAAGAACCUUACCAGGUCUUGACAUACUAUGCAAAUCUAAGAGAUUAGACGUUCCCUUCGGGGACAUGGAUACAGGUGGUGCAUGGUUGUCGUCAGCUCGUGUCGUGAGAUGUUGGGUUAAGUCCCGCAACGAGCGCAACCCUUAUUAUCAGUUGCCAGCAUUAAGUUGGGCACUCUGGUGAGACUGCCGGUGACAAACCGGAGGAAGGUGGGGAUGACGUCAAAUCAUCAUGCCCCUUAUGACCUGGGCUACACACGUGCUACAAUGGAUGGUACAACGAGUUGCGAACUCGCGAGAGUAAGCUAAUCUCUUAAAGCCAUUCUCAGUUCGGAUUGUAGGCUGCAACUCGCCUACAUGAAGUCGGAAUCGCUAGUAAUCGCGGAUCAGCAUGCCGCGGUGAAACACCGCCCGUCACACCAUGAGAGUUUGUAACACCCAAAGUCGGUGGGGUAACCUUUUAGGAACCAGCCGCCUAAGGUGGGACAGAUGAUUAGGGUGUG
This 1453-nucleotide ribosomal RNA is filed under the name Lactiplantibacillus plantarum. Its description in RNAcentral is "bacterial SSU rRNA". It matches the Rfam family "Bacterial small subunit ribosomal RNA". Lineage: Bacteria; Bacillati; Bacillota; Bacilli; Lactobacillales; Lactobacillaceae. The record is from RNAcentral.